CGUGGGGAACCUGCCCCAUAGUCUGGGAUACCACUUGGAAACAGGUGCUAAUACCGGAUAAGAAAGCGGAUCGCAUGAUCAGCUUUUAAGAGGCGGCGUAAGCUGUCGCUAUGGGAUGGCCCCGCGGUGCAUUAGCUAGUUGGUAAGGUAAAGGCUUACCAAGGCGAUGAUGCAUAGCCGAGUUGAGAGACUGAUCGGCCACAUUGGGACUGAGACACGGCCCAAACUCCUACGGGAGGCAGCAGGU
RNAcentral lists this ribosomal RNA (247 nucleotides) under uncultured Lactobacillus sp. RNAcentral describes it as "partial 16S ribosomal RNA". It matches the Rfam family "Bacterial small subunit ribosomal RNA", at positions 116 to 354 of the family's 1533-position model. The record is from RNAcentral. Lineage: Bacteria; Bacillati; Bacillota; Bacilli; Lactobacillales; Lactobacillaceae.